RNAcentral lists this small nuclear RNA (102 nucleotides) under Panthera pardus (leopard). The record is from RNAcentral. Lineage: Eukaryota; Metazoa; Chordata; Mammalia; Carnivora; Felidae.
GAGUGUUUAGCGCUCACUUCUGCAGCACAUACGAUGCCGAGAACACUAGCACAGCACGUGUGCAAGGGUGACACGCAAAUUUGUGAAGCGUCCCAUAUUAAA